ACGGGAGGCAGCAGUAGGGAAUCUUCGGCAAUGGACGAAAGUCUGACCGAGCAACGCCGCGUGAGUGAAGAAGGUUUUCGGAUCGUAAAACUCUGUUGUUAGAGAAGAACAAGGACGUUAGUAACUGAACGUCCCCUGACGGUAUCUAACCAGAAAGCCACGGCUAACUACGUGCCAGCAGCCGCGGUAAUA
This 192-nucleotide ribosomal RNA is filed under the name uncultured bacterium. RNAcentral describes it as "partial 16S ribosomal RNA". It matches the Rfam family "Bacterial small subunit ribosomal RNA", at positions 341 to 525 of the family's 1533-position model. The record is from RNAcentral.